AUACGGAAGGUCCGGGCGUUAUCCGGAUUUAUUGGGUUUAAAGGGAGCGCAGGCGGAGAUGCAAGCGUGACGUCAAAUUUCGGGGCUCAACCCCGUCUCGCGUCGCGAACUGCGUCCCUUGGUUGCGGGAAGGGGAGGCGGAACUCGUGGUGUAGCGGUGCAAUGCAUAGAUAUCACGAAGAACUCCGAUCGCGAAGGGAGCCUUCCGGCCCGUCAACGACGCUCAUGCUCGAAGGUGCGGGUAUCAAACAGGAUUAGAUACCCUGGUAGUCCGCACAGUAAACGAUGGACACCCGCGGUUUGGCCUGUAUGGCUGAGCCGCCAAGCGAAAGCGUUAAGUGUGCCACCUGGGGAGUACGCCGGCAACGGUGAAACUCAAAUGAAUUGACGGGG
Molecule: ribosomal RNA, 393 nt
Filed under: uncultured bacterium
Lineage: Bacteria
Description: partial 16S ribosomal RNA
Rfam family: Bacterial small subunit ribosomal RNA
Source: RNAcentral